This 159-nucleotide unclassified non-coding RNA is filed under the name uncultured Nectriaceae. RNAcentral's name for it is "sequence contains ITS1". The record is from RNAcentral. Lineage: Eukaryota; Fungi; Ascomycota; Sordariomycetes; Hypocreales; Nectriaceae.
CCGAGUUUCCAACUCCCAAACCCCUGUGAACAUACCUAUCGUUGCUUCGGCGGGAUCGCCCCGGCGCCUCCGGGCCCGGACCCAGGCGCCCGCCGGAGAACCCAAUUCAAACUCUUUGUCUCCGUGAGCAUCAUCUGAGUGAUACAAGCAAAUAAAUCA